Pogona vitticeps (central bearded dragon) is the source of this 624-nucleotide non-coding RNA. NCBI's taxonomy places the organism in Eukaryota, Metazoa, Chordata, Lepidosauria, Squamata, Agamidae. The record is from RefSeq and is a predicted model, not a curated record.
AUAGUGAGGGUAUCUGCUGUUUGGUGGAUGGACAUUUGGCAGCUGUGGGUCUCCAGUUGCUCCACUACUGCUGCACGCCCAUCUCCCCUUUCCUCCCACAGCAAAGUGUUUCUCAGAGGACAGCCUUCCUAACACAAUUGAUGUUGGGGUGAUGUUGCCUGUUUUCGCUCCUGCCCGGCUGACCCCAGCACUGUCCCUUUGCCCUUACAGUCUGUGAAUGAAUUUCUGGAAUCCGUCGGAGCCCCCCUGGAAAUCAUCGAUGGCUUCAUUGACAGCAUUGCCGUAACCAUCCCUUGGUCUGCCUUGGUGACGGAGAACUGCACGGUGGAAGUGAGCGGCCUGCAGAUCACGUGCCGGCCCAAGUAUCGGAGUGCUGCCUCUGGCUCGGAGUCGCAGAGCUGGGCAUCAUGCAUGACCACAAGCAUGCAGCUGGCACAGGAGUGCCUGAAGGAGCAGACCGAAGAGCCGUCGGAUACUCCCCAGCCCCUGGAGGGUCUUGAGAUGUUUGCACAAACUAUCGAAACCGUUCUUCGGAGGAUCCAAGUGACCUUUCUGGACACAGUGAUACGUGUCGAACACGAGCCUAACGGAGGGCAGGCCAGUAUGGCCCUUGAGGUGCAUAUC